AUUUACCAGCAAAGUUAAACUAAACUCCAGUAAGUUAAGGGAAUUAAAAUCAUGUUAAAAGGAUUCAUCACUUUUUGCACAGAUGUCAAAUGGGUUUCAACUCAUUACUCAAACCCAAUUGGGACUGUCUGCCUGGAUUGCGGUGCUGAAUAGAAAUCUGAGUUCUUGGAAAAACUGAGCAUCAUGCUGGAGAGAGCUAUGUGCCGUGGGAUUAGUUCUUGGGAACGGAAGCGCAUUACUGCUUUUUUUAACUAGCAAGCCGUUUACAGUAAAGUGGCACCCUGGAUGAGACCUUAUUAAAAUAGAAUGUACAUACACCUGGGAUUUCUGUGAUUGAGAAGUAUGAGCACAACGACUGCACUUAAAGAGCACAUAUUCCGUGGAGACUUGGUGCUUUUCUUUUCAAGGCUGGUGGUGGAGAGGAAAGGGCAGCAAUCAGGAAGUCA
RNAcentral lists this long non-coding RNA (446 nucleotides) under Capra hircus (goat). RNAcentral describes it as "lncRNA (ENSCHIG00010022109.1)". Lineage: Eukaryota; Metazoa; Chordata; Mammalia; Artiodactyla; Bovidae. The record is from RNAcentral.